GACAGAGGGUGCAAACGUUGCUCGGAAUCACUGGGCGUAAAGGGCGUGUAGGCGGGUAUGUAAGUCGGGCGUGAAAUCCCUAGGCUCAACCUAGGAACUGCACUCGAAACUGCGUUUCUUGAGUAUCGGAGAGGAAAGCGGAAUACCUGGUGUAGAGGUGAAAUUCGUAGAUAUCAGGUGGAACACCAGUGGCGAAGGCGGCUUUCUGGACGAUAACUGACGCUGAGACGCGAAAGCGUGGGGAGCAAACAGG
This 253-nucleotide ribosomal RNA is filed under the name uncultured bacterium. Its description in RNAcentral is "partial 16S ribosomal RNA". It matches the Rfam family "Bacterial small subunit ribosomal RNA", at positions 524 to 776 of the family's 1533-position model. The record is from RNAcentral.